UAAACAAAUGUAAUUAUAAUUUAAAUAACGCAACUAUACAAUAUGUGCAUAAAUAAAAUUAAUUACGGACUGAAAAUCCGUUACCUUCAGAAACAAACAAUAUACAAUAUUUGUGACAUUCUCAGGCAAAAGGUAACUAGAAUAUCUAUUGGUUAUGGCCUUAGGGGCUGUCCAUAAAUUACGUCAUCGAUUUUUGACCCCCCCCCCCUAUAAUCAUCCAAAAAUCAUGCUUCAAAUGACCCCAUAUCCUCCUACUUCAUGCUACCGUCAUCCGAUGUCCAGACCCCCCCCCCCCCCUAAUUUGAAAUGACGUAAUUUAUGAAUAGCCCCUUAGUGUGAUAAAAGAAAAAAAAAUAGUGUUGAUAGCGCUCGAUUUGGCAAAAAAAAAUUAUUUGUCGCACAGUUAUUUUAAAUUUGUCAAAUAUCUAAUAACUAGAUGUCACAUUGCCGCUUGGCGGGCGCCACUGUCGCACACAUAGCCAAUGAGAAUGAUUUCUAGUGCCACUUUUAUAAUAUUAGCGCCUUAUACUUAACAAUUAGAUACCUUUUACUUGAAAACGUCACAAAUGUCAAUAAUAGUACAAAUCGAAAACACCUUUAUUUUUUAAAGAGAUUGAAUACUCUUAUACUGGAAGCAAAUUCAACUUGUUUUAAGGACAACCAGUGACAUUGCUAAUAUUUAAUCUGAAAUAAUCACUGCAAGUAUUCAUUAUGUUAUAUAAUAAGUUUCCUGAUUAGUUAGGUAAUUCUUUUUUAAAACAUAAAAUGGGGCAUUAUCUAUGAAAAGGGACCUUAUUGUCGAUGGCGCUCACGCCGCACAGCGUCGCGCGUCAUUGUAUUUAUAUCGGAGCAUCGUUAAUAAUGGCGUAAGCGCUAUCGACAAUAAGGUCCCUUUUCAUAGAUAACGUCACAAUUUUUUUAUAACAUUUAAUUAUUGUUUUUACCACGUCGUCCAUACCUGCCUUACAGUUAUCGAAUAUAUCUGUGCGACAGGAUAACCAAAAACAUCUAAACACGAAUAAGGCGUUCGAUCAUGUUCAAAUUGUUCAUAUAUUUUUGAGCAACACUGUGUACAGUUUAAUAGCGGUCACAUCGCUUAAAUAUGUAAAGCAAGGACGCUAAGCACAAAGAAUAUCGUAUAUUGACCCUCCUAGUUCUAUCUCUAUCGCACGCAUAUUGCUUCCCCACUUGCACCGUGUCAUAGACCGCCACCAUCAUGGGCGGGACAGUAUAUAAUAUUAUUACGCGCGUGCGAUAGAGAUAGAAUGAGGGUCAAUGUACGACAUUCUUUGUGAUAAGCGUCCUUACUUCAUACAUUAUAAUAUUUUGGAUUUUUACUACAGAAUAUUGUGGUGUGAAAUUAUUUAUGUAAACAUUAUUCAAAGUCUUUGGCACUAAAAAUUAAACGUCAAAAGCAAUUUCAACUAUCAAAAUACUACCACCAAUACAAUAAAAUAAGGGUUUUAUAAAAAUUCGUUAAAAACAAAUUAAAUUAACGAAUAAUUACAAUUUAAAAUAGACUGAUAUCGGUGCAACUAUAGUUGGUCAACAUUUUUAUAAAUAAAAUAAAUAUUAAAUAAUUAAUAGUUAUAGGACAAUCUUACACAAAUCGACCUAGUCCUAGAUCAGGAUGAUAUUAUACACGGUAUAGACAAACUUAAAUACAGAGAAAACCAAUAACUCGGGAACAAAAUCGGCACUCUUCACACAAAUAAAUGCCCUUACCGGGGUUCGAAACCAUGGACAUCUUAAAGUAUGGACGCUAAGGAAGAAUAAUUUCGUACACUGACCCGCCUGUUUCUAUCUCUAUCACAUGCACGUAUUUAAUAUUUCUGUCCUGUCCAUGACGCCGGCGUUCAAUGACACUAUGCGAGGGGCAAAGCAAUAUAGUAGGGUACUUGACUGUAUUUAAAAUAAAUCAUUUUACACCGUGCAUCUGCAUGCACCUGGAGAGGAUGGGGGAGGAUCGUGCUGUGAGAAGAGCGUAUGUGGGGCACCCGGGCGGAAAACGUCCGUCUGGGCGUCCCAGAUACCGCUGGAGUGACGAAGCCCAAAAAGACCUGUCCGUCCUCGGAAUACCCAACUGGCGUGAAGUGGCGCAGAAUAGGGCAGAGUGGCGCUCUCUUGUGUCAGAGGCCAAGAUCCUCUUUGGGUCACUGAGCCAGUGA
This is a long non-coding RNA of Cydia fagiglandana, 2168 nucleotides long. RefSeq lists it as uncharacterized. Lineage: Eukaryota; Metazoa; Arthropoda; Insecta; Lepidoptera; Tortricidae. The transcript is spliced from 2 exons. The record is from RefSeq and is a predicted model, not a curated record.